This 468-nucleotide ribosomal RNA is filed under the name uncultured bacterium. Its description in RNAcentral is "partial 16S ribosomal RNA". It matches the Rfam family "Bacterial small subunit ribosomal RNA", at positions 28 to 507 of the family's 1533-position model. The record is from RNAcentral.
GACGAACGCUGGCGGCGUGCUUAACACAUGCAAGUCGAACGGAAAGGCCCUGCUUUUGUCGGGUGCUCGCGUGGCGAACGUGUGAGUAACACGUGAGUAACCUGCCCUUGACUUUGUGAUAACUUCAGGAAACUGGGGCUAAUACCGGCUAGGAGCUCCUGAUGCAUGGUGGGGGUUGGAAAGUUUCGGCGGUUGGGGAUGGACUCCCGGCUUAUCAGCUUGUUGGUGGGGUAGUUGCUUACCAAGGCAUUGACGGGUAGCCGGCCUGGGAGGGUGACCGGCCACAUGGGGACUGAGAUACGGACCAGACUCGUACGGGAGGCAGCAGUGGGGAACAUUGCACAAUGGGCGGAAGCCUGAGGCAGCAACGCAGGGAGCGGGAUGACGGCUUUCGUGUUGUAAACCGCUGUAACCUGUGACGUUGCGUGAGUGACGGUAAUGAGUAAAGAAGCACCGGCUAACUACGUG